GACGAAGGGGGCUAGCGUUGUUCGGAAUUACUGGGCGUAAAGCGCGUGUAGGCGGUUAUCCAAGUCUGGGGUGAAAGCCUUGAGCUCAACUCAAGAAAUGCACUCGGUACUGGGUGACUAGAGGACCGGAGAGGAUAGUGGAAUUCCCAGUGUAGGGGUGAAAUACGUAGAGAUUGGGAAGAACACCAGUGGCGAAGGCGGCUAUCUGGACGGUUUCUGACGCUAAGACGCGAAAGCGUGGGGAGCAAACAGG
RNAcentral lists this ribosomal RNA (253 nucleotides) under uncultured bacterium. Its description in RNAcentral is "partial 16S ribosomal RNA". It matches the Rfam family "Bacterial small subunit ribosomal RNA", at positions 524 to 776 of the family's 1533-position model. The record is from RNAcentral.